GAUGGUGCAUCUAUAAGAGAAGGACCUAAUAUGAAUCUAGAUGGAUCUAAGUCAACGAAAGGUUUGAGUAUAGUAUAGUCAAGAGAUGGAUGAGAAGGAAGAGGAGGAACCAAAGACAUUGUUCAAAAGAAGAGAAGAGCCGAGAGAAUCGGUUACGAAAAGUGAAGAAGGAUGAAGGAGACAAAGAAGAGAUUUUAGUGAAGGAUAUGAGGAAAAGAAAUAAGAAUUGGAAGAGACAAAAAGAAUAGGAAGCUUGAGGAAGAAGAAAAGGCCGUCAUAUCGAACUGUCGCUUCAAUUACGAGUCCCAAGGUCGGCUAUAAUGAUGAAUAGACAGCGGCAAUUAAGAUGAUUUAAUUCACGUCGCACAUGAGACAAAAAUAGAGAAUGCGAUUAGGGCCGUAAAGAAGAGAAUAAACGGCUUAGAUUAAACCGUACAGAAGACCGUGGUGCAGAAUACGUCAGCGAAUUUGAAUUUGAUUGGACCGAGAAAUACG
This 495-nucleotide long non-coding RNA is filed under the name Ananas comosus (pineapple). Its description in RNAcentral is "long non-coding RNA (ACOM_LNC041582)". Lineage: Eukaryota; Viridiplantae; Streptophyta; Magnoliopsida; Poales; Bromeliaceae. The record is from RNAcentral.